RNAcentral lists this ribosomal RNA (437 nucleotides) under uncultured bacterium. Its description in RNAcentral is "bacterial SSU rRNA". It matches the Rfam family "Bacterial small subunit ribosomal RNA", at positions 201 to 653 of the family's 1533-position model. The record is from RNAcentral.
GAAAUGGUUUUUCCGCCUAAAGAGAAGCUUGCGGCUGAUUAGCUUGUUGGUAAGGUAAUGGCUUACCAAGGCGACGAUCAGUAUCUGGUUUGAGAGGACGAUCAGACACACUGGAACUGAGACACGGUCCAGACUCCUACGGGAGGCAGCAGUGGGGAAUUUUCCGCAAUGGGCGAAAGCCUGACGGAGCAAUACCGCGUGAGGGAUGAAUGCCUAUGGGUUGUAAACCUCUUUUUUCAGGGAGGAACAAAAUGACGUGUACCUGAAGAAUAAGCAUCGGCUAACUCCGUGCCAGCAGCCGCGGUAAGACGGAGGAUGCAAGUGUUAUCCGGAAUCACUGGGCGUAAAGCGUCUGUAGGUGGUUUAAUAAGUCAACUGUUAAAUCUUGAGGCUCAACCUCGAAAUCGCAGUCGAAACUAUUAGACUAGAGUAUAGUA